This 391-nucleotide unclassified non-coding RNA is filed under the name soil metagenome. RNAcentral's name for it is "partial contains 5.8S ribosomal RNA, internal transcribed spacer 2, and large subunit ribosomal RNA". The stretch from base 1 to 122 matches the Rfam family "5.8S ribosomal RNA", at positions 35 to 154 of the family's 154-position model. The record is from RNAcentral.
GAUGAAGAACGUAGCGAAAUGCGAUACUUGGUGUGAAUUGCAGAAUCCCGUGAACCAUCGAGUCUUUGAACGCAAGUUGCGCCCGAAGCCAUUAGGCCGAGGGCACACCUGCCUGGGCGUCACACGUCGUUGCCCCCCCAUCUACUCCUUCGGGAUUGCGGGGGGCGGAUGAUGGCCUCCCGUGCGCCUCGUCGCGCGGUUGGCAUAAAUGCCAAGUCCUCGGCGACGCACGCCACGACAAUCGGUGGUUGCGAAACCUCGGUUGCCCGUCGUGUGCGGUCGUCGCGCAUCGAGGGCUCGAAAAAAUUGCCGGGCUCCGGCUCGGCUUUCAACGCGACCCCAGGUCAGGCGGGGUUACCCGCUGAAUUUAAGCAUAUCAAUAAGCGGAGGA